Molecule: ribosomal RNA, 474 nt
Filed under: uncultured organism
Description: partial 16S ribosomal RNA
Rfam family: Bacterial small subunit ribosomal RNA
Source: RNAcentral
UACUCCUACGGGAGGCAGCAGUGGGGAAUUUUGGACAAUGGGCGAAAGCCUGAUCCAGCAAUGCCGCGUGAGUGAAGAAGGCCUUCGGGUUGUAAAGCUCUUUUGUCAGGGAAGAAACGGUGAAAGCUAAUAUCUUUUGCUAAUGACGGUACCUGAAGAAUAAGCACCGGCUAACUACGUGCCAGCAGCCGCGGUAAUACGUAGGGUGCAAGCGUUAAUCGGAAUUACUGGGCGUAAAGCGUGCGCAGGCGGUUUUGUAAGUCUGAUGUGAAAUCCCCGGGCUCAACCUGGGAAUUGCAUUGGAGACUGCAAGGCUAGAAUCUGGCAGAGGGGGGUAGAAUUCCACGUGUAGCAGUGAAAUGCGUAGAUAUGUGGAGGAACACCGAUGGCGAAGGCAGCCCCCUGGGUCAAGAUUGACGCUCAUGCACGAAAGCGUGGGGAGCAAACAGGAUUAGAAACCCCGGUAGUCCCAUG